This is a long non-coding RNA of Triticum aestivum (bread wheat), 3635 nucleotides long. RefSeq lists it as uncharacterized. The record is from RefSeq and is a predicted model, not a curated record. The transcript has 10 exons. Lineage: Eukaryota; Viridiplantae; Streptophyta; Magnoliopsida; Poales; Poaceae.
CCACGUCUCCUUUUACUGUACCGCACCUCCCCUGUAAAAAGUAGCGAUGGCAUCGGCGAAAACGCAUCCUCUUUUCCUCACAGCCCGCUCUCCACCGUGACGCUAGGGUUCCUAGCCGCCGCCGCGCGCACAGCCGGCCAGAGCCACCUCCACUCCGGCGCCCAUCGAUAGUCCUCUUCGCCGUCGCCCGGAGCUGCUCCGCCCAUCUCUGUCCGUUCCCGAGUGGACUCGGCCCGCCCAGCAGCCCCUCCACGCCGGCCGGCCGGAGCUGCGCCGCCCACCACAGCAAAGGGGUGGGGGUAGGGGGGGCGUAGAGGAUGGGGGCAGUAACGUCACACGGUGGAGGUCACUGGUCACCACCUGUGGCAAAGAUUUGCAGGGAGUGCAAGGUUGUUGUCGGAUGCUCAGGAAUGCAGCGGGAGUUCGCCUGUUCUCGGCUUCCUGUUCGGAGUUGUAUAGUGCCACCCCUGUCGACUCCACCGGCAGCGGGAUCCAGGUCCAACUCCAGGAUAUUUGAUUCAGUAAUCAGCUUCAGUUCCAAGUUUCAGUGCUUCAGAAAUAUUGGUUUUGGUAAUCAGCUUGCCGAGAUGGUACCUGGACAUAAUUUACUUGCGUGCUAUAGCGUGUAGAAAAUUGUCUAGUUAAAUUGAUCAGUGUACAAUCUCUCGCUAAUAGCAUAUUUUCAGAGGUCACGCUAUUUUGUAUAGCACGCUAUUCAUUAGAUCUGUCUACUCCUGUAUUUUCAGUUACCUGUGUGACUGAAAAAAUACACUAUAUGUCACUAUGAUAUAUUUCUUAAGUUAUGUAUAGAACCUCUGCCUAUAUACUUGGAUCACCGGAUUGUUAUGCAUCAAAACUACAGAAUUACUACUUACCAUUGUAGUGUCGUGUUCUGUGUAUACCAAUAUCUCUACCACUAUAAUACACCAUUCUUGAAUUUGGAUUCACCACCUACUUGCUUUUUAGUCUGCUCGAGGUCGGCCAUGGUGGUCCGGCCCGACCAAUGGAUGGAUGGGGAUGAAACCCUAGCCCAACACCCACACAUGGAUGGAUGGGAUGGGGCGACGACGACGGCGGCAGCGGCCUUCUCUCGGUGCUUGCUGAUGUGGUGGCCAUCGACACCGGCAACGAGUUGCAGCACGUAGACAUCAAAGGCUGCGGGUGUGACGGAGGAGCACCAUGGCGGGCGUGCAGGCCAUGGCUCUCUAUGUUAAGGGAGCAUUCCUCAAUUUUUUGGGGGUUCAACGGAACAGCAGGAGUGUGGAGAAUUAAGGCACUCGAGGACUCUGGAAUAUGGAUGGAGAGAACAACAGUUGAAGACAUGGAUAUUGCUGUUCGAGCACAUAUAAAGGGAUGGAAGUUUCUGUUAUGGUUGAUGACUUUUCUGUAUGGCAUUCAUACCUUUACUGAUCAUUCAAACUGUGCUACACGAAUUUCCAUUCAGUGUUAGUGUGAAUUGCUGGAGUCAUACGAAGUUUACAGAAAACAGCAAAAUAGAUGGCAUUCUGGUCCAGUGCAGUUGUUUAGACUCUGCUUUCUGGACAUCAUCAAAUCAAAGGUAUUAAUGUAGGCAUAUUUUGAAAGGUGAAUUUUAUUUUCCAGGGAAAAAAUCGGACGCCUUCCUUGACGCUCUCCUUGAGCUUGUACUCCUCCUUGAGGAGCUCGACCAGCUUGGGCAGCAGGGAGCCCAUGGCGCCGGUUGCCAUACUCAUGGCCAUGGCUUGUUGAUUAGUGCAGUAGCUUUGUUGUUUGCUUGAGGAGUGUAUAGCAAUUGUUGUACGUUUAGGUGCUACAACGCUGUUCUUUAUAGGAGCCGAGCAAGUUCACAUCAACACAUUAAGGUUAUGGAGUAGACAAGGAUAAUUAAGUAUAGUUUGAUUAGUAUGACAAGUCAUGUCAGCAGGAUGAAUAUUUACAAGAUUGAUUAUCUCCCAGGAAGACAAAUAGGAAGUAUGUUUGCAAGUUUUCAUCACUAAAUUAUACAAUUAUAUAAAUUGUGUUCUACUUGAAGUUUGGUCAGUUAAAAUCAUGUUGACUCGCCUACUGUUUAAUGGUUCUAUUUUGAUCAUAUAAUUAGGUUUACAUCUUGACUCGCUUGAUUUGAUAAAUUCCAUUCUUAUCAAGGGUCGUCAUUUGUGUAUUUCCUCUUCGGAGGGUGAUCUCGUCGCCCACGGAUAAGCAAUCCAAGGAGAAGAGAGUAGGGUCUGCGCCCAACUUGACUCCCUAUAAAAGGAGGGGAGGUGGCUGCGAGCAUGCCAUCAGCGUUGGGUCGAUGGUGUUGUGCCUCGGCAGCCGGGAUCAUGCAAUGCAGAUGGGAAGCAGCAGUGCCGCCUCUCCCCCCGAGCUCCAGAUACAUGAUAGCAGCAUCGAGGUGAGCAGUGGCAAAGGUUCCCACCUGAACAUAUCGAGCUGUGACACCAGUACGGCCACAAUCUCCAAUACUACUAUGACUGAUGGCUGUCCUCCACCCGAGGAGAAAAACUACAUUCAGAGGUUACAGAAUGGCAAUGGGUGGCAUGGUUAGUGAUCACUAGGCCAUGAAUCUCAUGGAUCCCAUGAUACAGGUAUCUGGUCCAGAUCCGACGGAGCCAAGCAAAAUCAUGUUGCUGCUUCUUCUUUCGAUUGAAAAUCCAGGUGAAACCUUUCAAGAACUCACGACGACACGCAAUGAUUAUAUUUCAUUGUGAUGGCCGCUGCCGACACAGCUACUAUGGGUACACGCAACUUCUAUUUCGCUCGUCACCGGAAACCACCGCCCAGAUCCAUCUCUUCUCAACCAUGCCGACGUGGUGGUCAGGGGCGCUUACAACUUGUGAGGACCUGCGUUCUCGCUGUUGAUCCGUGAUGGCAUGGCCUCCCCGCGCCCUAGCCGUGUUCUAGCUGAUGGUUUGGGUCUGCCAGCAGAGGGAGAGGGGGACGACCUCUGUCGCUCCUUCUUUCUAGCCUCUUCAUCUUGAUGAAGCCGUAGGAGUAGAGGGGCACACGCCUGAUGGAUCUGCUCCAAGCACCUGAAGCCACGCAUCUUCAAGAUGGUGUACCCAAAUGCCAACCAAGCCUCACAUACUUGCCGAAUGGUAUGAAUGUAAAUGCACUUUGUGAUGGUUCCACCGGGCUUCGCACAAACUGAUGAUACUUUCUGUGCUACGUCUAUUCCAAGCAAGAACACCACUACCACUGCUGUAAAUUCUUCUGACCCGGAGCAACGACAUCUUAUUCAAGGCGAGAAAUUGUACCCGCUGGCUGAACAGCUUGAGUCAUUAUCAGGUGGGAAGGUGACAGGGAUGCUGGGUGAAGCAAUGGAAGCUCCGCAGAGAAGCAAAGUUGAAGAGGCCAGCGAUACUGUUGACAUUGCAUCCGUAUCAUCAUCCUUGACCUUGAGUGCACCCCACUUCGGCACCAUCGUGCUCGAGUGCUCGACGCUGCUAACCAUGCUUCCGCAUCGUUUUCCUCAAGUGCUUGAACGCUGAUUCCUAACAUCUCUAUCAAUCUGGAAUUUAGAUGGCUGGACAAUGUUUAAGAAGAUUCCUGAUUUGAUAAUACUUCAUGAUAUUUUCGGUCAAGAGUUUUAUUCUUCUUUGUUUGUUCUUAGGUUAAAGUGCAACUGCAUUUCCACCAAUAUUCAGGAUAACUUUAGA